This 3379-nucleotide long non-coding RNA is filed under the name Brassica napus (rape). RNAcentral's name for it is "long non-coding RNA (BNAP_LNC023878)". Lineage: Eukaryota; Viridiplantae; Streptophyta; Magnoliopsida; Brassicales; Brassicaceae. The record is from RNAcentral.
GUUGUUUCCGGAGAGAGUGAGGUUGCGGAGGGAGGUGAGACCGGUUAGUGUGCUGAAUUUGAGUUCUCCUGAUAAACCGAGCCGGUCGAGAUUAAUGGCGAUGAUUGAACCGUUUUCGGGUCGCAGGAGAUACCGGGCCAGUUCUCGGGGCAAGUGGAGGGGUCGGUGAGGCUGCUCGUAGCGGAGCAUGAGAUAUGCGUUGGUUGGAGGCCUCGUCGCGGAUGCGUUUGCGGAACUCGAGUAGAUAUCGGAGCUCAUGCUCCGUCACAGUGUUGACGCCAUGAGGAGGAGGAUGAAGCAGAGAGGAAGAGUGUGGAGAGGACAACAAGGUAACUUCGCUUCGUUCAUUUGUCAUAUAUCUAAUUAUUAUUUUUUUUUGCAUGGAAACCUAAUUAUCUUUCUGUUUGUGUAUUUCCACCCAAAUAGCUACUCUAUUAUUGUGUGUCUACAGUGCAAAGGGUCAUGAGAAUUAUUAUUUUGUCUCAUGCCCACUUGGUUCUCUCCAUCUAGGAGGGACCCAACAUUGAUAACGGUUCUCUCCGCAAAUGAAGGCUCCACCAUGGAUCUUAAGCUCGCCCAUGUGAUCUCAAAGUUUGUGUGUUUUAAGAACUUACGGAUCGAUGAGUGUGACAACAACAUCGAACUGACGCAACUUCGCGGCGAGGGAGCCGCCGAUCACCUCCACCCUUCGUUGGACUGCUCUCACAACAGCACGCUGAUGUUAAAAGAUUCACUUUUGAAUCUACAUGGCUUUGCUGCUUUCUGGCUGUAUUCACAUUUUCAUGUAGAAGCCUCACGUCGCAGUCACAUGUACAGUGAACGAGACUGUCUGGCUUCAUUUUCUUGACCAAAGUUUCCAGAUUGUGGAGUAGGUUUCCUAAGAUUGAGGGCGAGUUACUCUGCUCAGUGCAUUCUGAAGAGGGCACCUUCACUGCCUGUAAAGGUGCUCUGCUUGCUUCUCUUUGAAAUCCCUGCAACAGCAAGUCAAAGCACAGCAGGCGGUAACGUCUUGUUCCGAGUGUAGCAUUGAACUUCUGCUCUAUUACUUUAAUUUCAGAACAAAUAGCUUUAUCUCCAAUUAUCAGAGGGUAUGAAAUUUGAUUAGGCCAGAUUCAUUUUCAACCUACAAAAGCACUUUUGCUGUCACCACCGAAAGUUCAAACUUUGUGUCAUUAAUUCUUUCAUCUGGUUAAACUUCACCCGAAGCUGUACGAGAGACAAAGUUGUCUGCGUUGAUGCUACUAUGGGUAGAUGGAUCCUUGAGUGGGGAUAUGCCGAUCUUCAAAAUUCAAUGAAGCCUCGUGUUCCUCUCUCUCUGGUCGAAUCAUUAAAACAGAUCAACAAUCUCGAGCUGCAUAAGAGAUUAAUUAACUAAGACGGUUCAGCUAUCAAAUCCAGUUCUAAAAUUCAUGAUCAAAUCUCAAAGAAAGAAAAAAAACCGAUAAAGAAGAACAAAGCUAGCGUUGGCACCUUUGAGCUCACUUAUUAUAUAUCAACUUCACAACCUCGGAUCCCGCUUCUUCUUCAGCCGCUCAGCUUCCUCCAGUUUCUGAUCGAGCUCCGGAUACGAACACGGAAGCAAACCUUCCACGAAACUGGAACAAAGCAACCUCGUUCCUAACCAGAGCCAGAUUCAUCAGGAGAAGGAUACGAUUGGCCGGAGGUUGCGUCGCAAUCAUCGGAGGAGGAACGGGUGAGAAGGUAGCUUGAUCGGAGUGACUCGUAAGGCGAUCACCCAAUCCCACAUGGCGGAGGAAUAAGUUGAAGGAUCCUCGUCAAGCAAUGCCGGCGGUUGAAUUUCCAUCCCCGGCGGCGGCGAUGGAGAAGCCAUCAAAUUGAAUUCAGAUGGAUUAUUGGUGAAGGAAGGACCCAUCGGUUGUUGUCAAGGAGGAAGUUGGUGAUUUUCUUUGGUUUAAGGUUUUAGCAUAUAAUAAUAAUUAAUUCAUCAUCCCAAAUCUGGGUAUAUGCAUUUACGCAGCAAACAAACCAAUAACACUUCAAUUUUUUGCUUGUUUUUGUAAUUUUAAGGCACGAAUCAAGUAAAUUAUCUAACAUGGUUUAAGAUUUUUGUAUGAGAUGAAUAUGAACUCGUUGAAUUAAAUUAUAGACACAAUCCUUAAUCGUGCUAUAAAUAGUUUAUUGAGCAUAUUGCAAGCUAUAUCUAUGUUGGAAAGAUUAUUUAGGUAAAUGGUCAUAGCUAAGAAACAAACUGUACAGUUUUUGUUUUAACUCAAAAUUGCUCCUAUACUGUAGCUCUUUGGCGUCUAACAAAAUUAUGCGACGUCUGGUUGUUUUUAUUUUUGUCUUUGUCAUAUAUUAUUUUACCAUCUUAUCUAAAAUAAUUUUCGUUCAAUCUUGAAUUCCCGAUAAACAACGUUUCUCGAUAGAUCUUAUUAUAUUAAACCAAGCCACAUAUGUGAAAAAAACAUAACUUGCACCCAGAAAUUUCAGAUUCUUGAAAAAUUAGGCUUUGCUCCAUCCAUGGGCUUUUUAGAUCAUUUAUGGGAUGAUUCUGUCAUGAUAUCAUCGCACGUCCUUCUCAUGUUAUUUUCCUGGUGGAUUAAUUGGUCGUUCGAACGGUGGAAGUGUCAGAUCGUGCGGUGGAGAUUCACUGGAAGAGUCUGAGAAAGUAAAACCACCAGAAUACCAAGGCGGUUCAGUUCGUUUUUCCAUACUCUAUUUCUAUAUAUCAAAAACAGAGUUUUAUGGUUUCAAAUCAUUCAAUAAAAUUGAUCUUUACAGAAGCAAUAUCUUCACUUUCUGUUUCUAUUAUGUUCAAAUACUUUCACUAUAUUAGUAAAAGCGCUAUAAAAUCAAAACGAUUUUGUUGUUUCUGUUAAUUUUUGUUUUUUUUUUCUAAUCAUAUUUAUUUUCCUCCAAUGACUUGUUCUAUCUAUUUUCCGGUGUUACUGUUGCCGGCCAACAGAUUCCCGGAAUCUCGUCUGAAACAACCGACGACUUUGUAAAAAAUUAAUUUCAUCGGGAUUUUGAUAUCGGAAAGUACCGACAAAGCUCCGACGAUUAUGUGAGGAUUGUGGUCCUCGGUUUAUAGGUCUUUUUCUUGUAGUGAUCCGACAGAUCUAGUCUCUGGAGAGACGAGAUAGCUCCGAGGGAAGGCACGACCCGACCCGAGAAGUUGUUUCCGGAGAGAGUGAGGUUGCGGAGGGAGGUGAGACCGGUUAGUGUGCUGAAUUUGAGUUCUCCUGAUAAACCGAGCCGGUCGAGAUUAAUGGCGAUGAUUGAACCGUUUUCGGGUCGCAGGAGAUACCGGGCCAGUUCUCGGGGCAAGUGGAGGGGUCGGUGAGGCUGCUCGUAGCGGAGCAUGAGAUAUGCGUUGGUUGGAGGCCUCGUCGCGGAUGCGUUUGCGGAACUCGAGUAG